AGGCAGCAGAGGCCAUGCCUUUGUGGGUACCUGAGAAACCCUAAUCUGAGGCAAUAUGUUAACUCUCCCAAUGCCAAAAGGAUUGUUGCAACCUGUGGAAUUCCCUAUCCUCGGUGUUAGGUUUUAACUAAAUGUUUUAUCAAAAAGCUUGUCAUAAACAAAAAAGUCAUAAAUAAAAAAGUGUGUUGCAAGAUUGAUUAGUGAGUAUUAACGUGGAAUAUGCUAAAGUUUGUGAGUGACAGAUGGCUUGGUUGCCAUCAAUGUACUUCUGAAGAUGGAAUAUAUUGUAAAAUAUAUGGAUAAUGAACUGAUAAUAAGCUGUAUUUAUGUUAUGUACUCAUGCUCCCUUUUUUUUUUUUUUUUUUUUUUUUGGAGACUUCCUAUUUUUAUUUUCAUUAUUAUUAUUAGAUUGGUGCUAUUUACACUCUCAAAUUCACUUUAAAUAUUCUAUUACUUUGUACAGUAAUAUGCUAAUAUUUUUCAAACAAAAAAAUUAAGGUUUACUUCGUACACUUUUUAAAAUUUCAAAAAAAAUCUAUACUUGAACUAUUUAAAUUAAUUAACUUUAUCUAAUUGAAAUACCAAUAAACUAUUUAACACACCCAAUUUUACUGGGUUUGACACAUUUAAAACAAUAAAAUCAAGCAAGUCAUAAAAAAAUUAUUUAACACAAUUUUAGUUAUUAUUAUUAUUAUUUUAUUUCUGUUCAAUAUUAGAUCUUACAUCUAAAAUAACUUGCAAUGAGAAUACACUAAUAAAAAAAAUCUAUAAAUACUUAAAAAAAAAAAAGGAGGAGAAAGAAGACGAAGAAGAAGGACAACUGGACAAGAAGAAUGGUCAAAAGCGGGAAAAAAAAAAGUUGUUUUACAAUACUUUGGUUCUUUUUUUGCAAAACAAAAAUAUCACACAUACUUUAUAUUAAUUUUUUAAAAAAAAUAUUGAUUUUCUCACUGUCCAUCUAAAUAUUAAUUAAGAUAUUAAAAAAUAAAAAUUUUAAGGUAUGAGAAUUAUACAUUGAAUUAUAAGUAUAAUAUAUGGGUGUUCAAAAUAAUUUAUAAUAUUGACUUAUAAUAAAUUAUUUUUAAUAGUAAUUUAUAUGAUAAAUAUUUUUACAAUAGAUUUAUAUUAAAAUAAAAGUGUUAAAAGCGAACCUCAUUAUUAUUGUUGUUAUUUCAAUUUUUCCAUUUGGUUGAAAAUUGAAUUGCGUAAAGAUGAAUUACUCCUCUUGUUGUUUCCUUUUUAUACUUUUUAUUGAAUUGGUUGUUAGACUUGAUGGAUAAUUCUCUUCAGUUUUUGUUACGGGAUGUGCAGAAUUUGAGAGAAAGCUAGCUAAUUAACGACCAAUAAAAGUUAAAAAUUAACUAUUAUCUUAAUCACGCACCAUGAACACGGUUCUCUCAAUGUCAAUGUGAUGUGAUGUUACAUGAGCUACAGCUGAAUGUAAAAUCCGUCGUUUCAGCAAUAAUUAAGGCCUGAUUGGUGGGAUAAUUGUCUUUCCAAGAUGAAAUAAAAUUAGCAAUCAAGCUUAAAAAUUUUGGAUUUGGUACGUUUUUUUCAAGAUCUCAAUAAGAACAAGUUUGGUAUCAAUUGUCAAAUCUAAAGAUGCAAAUUUAGCCGUACAAAAGUUAACAACUAAUUAGUAACGGUAUCCUUUCGACAUUUGUAUGUAUAAUUAUUACGCAACCACUCUAGCUUUGCAUUACCUUAAUUUAUCAAAUAAAUUACUAACUUAAAUAAUUUUGAUAUAUAUGGUAUUCUUAAAUGAGUGUGUGUAUAUAUUGUCAUUUUAUUCUAAUUAAAAAAAUAAUACUUAAAAUGAUAAAAAUACAAAAUCAUUUUCCUAUUAAAGAAAUAAAAAUGAAAAUUUAAUUUGAAACAAAGAAGAUUUUUACCUGAAUUCAUUCCUCUAUGGAGAGAGGCUCCAUGAAAGAAGAGAAUAGGGAGCAACCUUUGCCUGAGGUGGGGUUUCGGCUUCCUUACCUUAAGGUAGUGUUUACUUGUUGGAGUGGGAGUGAGGAGUCUGGAUUCCUCCCACUCCAGUGUUUACUUACUAAUUUUAAGGGGGGAGUGGAAAUCUCACUCCGUGGGACCCACCUUUUUUUAGAGCGGGAAGUGGGAUUCCCACUCCCAUGGGGGGAGGUGGGAGUGGAAAUCCACUCCCCCCUCUUCUAUUUUUAUCCUUAUAUUUAAUUAAAUAAAAUAAAUAAUAUUUAAUAAAAUAAAAUAAUAUCAUAUUUACUUAAAUAAUAUUAUUAUAUUAUUUUAUAAAUUAUACUUAUUAAAAAUAAUAAUUUAUAUUGAAUCUAAGUUAAAAUUACUUAAAAAUAAUAUUAUUAUACUCAUAUAGAAUUAAUAAUAUUACUAUAUACUCUUUUUAUUUGAAAAUAUAAUAUUAUUAUAUUUAUUUAAAAAUAAUAGUAUUAUAUUUAUUUAAUAUUAGUAAUUAAUAAUAAUCAAUAUUUUAUUCUAAGAAAGUAUUAAUUUUGUAUUAUAUUAUUAAUAAUAAUGUUUCAUUUGUGUUGCUCUUAAUAAUAAUUUUUUAUUUACAUAAUUAAAAUUAAAUUUAAUAAAAAAAUCAUUUACAUAAUUAAGAAUAUGAAUAAUUAUUAUUAAUUUACAAAUAUAAUAAAAUAAAUAUUUUAUUUUUCAAAUCUAUUUUUUUUAUUAAUUUUGUAAUUAAAAACUACAAUUCUUUAAAUAAGGAUAAAACUGCAAUUUAAAAUUAUUUACUCCCAAUUCUAUGCUCUCAUUCCAGUGUAAGUAAACAACUUACUCCCACUCCCACUCCACACUCCUAAUCCCAGAAUUCUCACUCCAAUCCAAAACGUAAACGCAGCAUAAAAGUGGACAGAUACUGAUCUCAGUUGUCGAUGGGGCAAGUAGUCCAAUGCAAAAUGCCCAACCAAGAUUUCUUUAUUCUUUUUAAAGAGAGGGAUUUAGAUAUUUUAAGAAAUUCUCGGCCUUUACCUAUCUUUACUAAAUAAAUAAGAAAAGAGAUGAUUUUUUCGUUCGGUUGAUUACUGAAGAAGGCUCUUAUCUUGGUAAGUCUGUUCUCUUCCAGACAGUCUGUCUUUUCACCUAACAUAGUGUUAUAACGUUAAUUAAUUAUUUUAUUUUUUCUUCUAAAAACACACAAUAAUAUAAUUAAUUUUGUCAAUCUUUUUUUAAGUUUUUUUGGGUUCAAUUAUCGAUACUCUUUGGUACAUAUUGAAUUGAAGUCAUUUAUAUAGAAUCAAACGUUUCUACUUUCUAGCACUUGUGAGUUUUGACUAGUUUAGUAAUAAUUGACUCUAACUUCUAAUGAAGGCGGCUAGAAAUAAUAUUGACUGUUAAUGCUUAUAAUCCAAUUAAUAUCACAACCAGCAACUUGAAGAUUAAGAAGGGAAAAAAAAGGAGAAAAAAGAUAAAGAAUAUAUUUAUUUAUUGGUUAAAUUUUUUAUUAUUAAUUCAUUUAAUCAUGCUAAUUAUUCAAUCACUAAUUAAUUAAAUUGUGAUGUUGAUUGGUUUUAUUGGUAAAAAGUUUUGGUAUAUUACAACUAAACAAGAGGGCUGAGGUUAGGAAUCUCACUCAUGAUCGAGCUUAAGAAGCGUUUGAUUUAUAUUUAUAAUUUAAUAUUUACAAAUUACUACAUCAUGAAACUAUAUUACUUUAAGUACAAUUAACAAUUGAUAAUCUAUAAAAUGACUUGUUAAUAGGAUAAGAAUUCGAUAUAGAUAAAAGAAAUAUAGAAUUAAGGAAUCCAAUACAAAAACAAUCAAAAGUAACAAUUUUAAUAUGAAUUUUUUUUUUGAUACACUGAUAUUACAAUUAAAAUACUACUAAUAUGUAUUAUUUAUCAAUUUUUUUGUGUCUUUUGAUGCGACUGUAGGAUACAAUCGUAAUAUUCUUUUCUUACUUAAUAUUGGAGAAAUUCCAACUUCCAAACGGAUGGAUGUCGACUUUAUUGGAGAUAAUUGAAUCCCAACAAAGCUAGGACUUGAAUCCAAGGUUGUUGCCAAUGCCCCAUUCAAAGUUAAUAAGCUUAGGUUUGCCAUAAAUGAUGAGAUGAUUUUCUAGAUUCUGUCUUUAUGAUCCCCCACCGAUCAACAAUCAACUGCAUUCUAAGGACACAUUGUUGGCAUCAGACCUGCUUACCCAAUUUUCAACAAUAAUUGUUUAUUAGGUCCCACGUCUAAAUUGAACAACGUCCACUUACACCAUGUUUCGUACGUAGUUUCUGUUGAGAUAAUAAAUAACAUCAGGAUACCAGUAGUUUUGCAUUUUAUAAAUAAGAACACAGUUUUUCAUUUGUAUUAACAAGGUCCCUUAUUCUAAUUUAUUUCCUAUUGAAAUUACCAAAUACACUUAGGUAGUGUUUGGUUGGAAGAAUGGGAAGGAAAUGAGAAACAAAAAGAUGAAUGAAAAAGAAAGAGGAAGGGAAUUUGAUUCAUUUGUUUGGGUUGUGAAGGAAUUGUAAGGGGAAAGGAAACAACUAUUAUGUAAAUGGGCAAAAUAUCAUCUACUCAAAUAUGAUUUAAUUACUGAUUCUAUUUUAAGAAAUAAAUAAAUUUAACAAUAAUGAUGGGAAUCUCAACAGUUGAGUCUCAAUUAUUAUGUAGCAUUCAUCUAUUAGAUAAUGGAUUUCAUAACCAAUAAAAUUAAUAUUCUACCAUCUUAGAUAAAAUACCACAUUAAUUAAGACUCAAUUAUUGGGAUCUCUAAUAAUAUUACACUUUAUGUAAUAGUAUUAAAUGAUGUUUCAACAAAUCUAAAUUCGGUGCAACCAUUUCAAAAUGUGAGAAACAUAAAUCAAACUAAAGAGAGCAAUGACCUCGAGAUUCUCCUUGCAUGUAGUUAGAGAGCUAAGAAAAUUAUUGUUCAAUAAACAAAAUCGGACAAGGCCAAAUUUUGGCUUACUAAAUUACGAUUAUCAUAUAAGUGCAAAUUUGGUAAUCAAAAUACGUAAAAGGGUAAACCGAAGGCUUAAUAAAUAAAUGGAACUGAAUCAGGAUUCCAAUUUCUUGUUAUUAAUAGCUUAAACUAAAGGGCGUUUUAGUGAUUUGAAUAAGGAUUAAGGACCUAUCUGAUACAAAUAGACAGAUUUAUACCUUACAUGAGAAAAUGUGGACCCAUAAGUUAUUUCCCUACUCAUUCUUUGUCUAUAAAUUGUGCAACAAGCCUUGUCCAAAUAUCACCAACUCCAUUCUCCAAGAUCUUCUAGUAUAUUUUUGUUUUGUGACAAAUAGUUUUGAUAAUGAAGAAGGUUUCUUCUGUUGCGGCUGUGGGCUUUGUCGUGGCGCUGCUGGUGGCUGUGGCAGCACUAAGCCAAGUUAAUGUGGCAGAGGCAGCGACGUGCAACCCUACGGAGCUGAGCCCAUGUGCGCCAGCAAUCACAUCGUCGGCACCGCCGUCGAGAGCAUGCUGCAACAAGAUGAGGCAGCAGAGGCCAUGCCUUUGUGGGUUCCUGAGGGACCCUAACCUGAAGCAAUAUGUUAACUCUCCCAAUGCUAAAAGGGUUAUUGCUACCUGCGGAAUUCCCUAUCCUCGGUGUUAGGGUUAAUAAUACGCCUUGUUUAAUUAGUGCUUAAAAGGAGGGUGUUACUAAAUAAAAUCUUGAGAGGUGCAUGGUUAUGUUGGCAUUAGUUUACUAGUGAAGCUAUGAAAAAAUAUAUGAAUAGCAAUAUGUGCGAAUAUGAGGUUAAUUAAUAAAAUAAAAUAAUAAGUUGUGGUUGUUGUAUUUAUGUUAUGUACUCAUAUGCUGCUUCUUUUGUUUUCGUUAUUAUUUCUGUUGUUGUUAUUAUUUUAAUUUUCUUUUUAUUAUUUGUUUUUUUUUGGGGUAAUACAUCGACUAAACGCAGUUGCUUUUGCAGUAGUUUUGAGUUUUAAAAACAGUAAGCAGUCCCUCAAAGAUAACGAGGGAUUAUGGACGUGGAAAUCAUUUUCAAAAACGGUUAUCUAUCCAUUAUAGGUAUAUUUAAAAAAAUAAGAAAUUAAACAGUCUAAUCAACCACAGACAUGAUUUUAAAAAAAAAAAAAAUUAUCAGGGGGUCAAUAAGAGAAGUGAAGGAUCUUUAGUUGUUGGUAAUCUUAAUUUUCUCCUCUUACAAUAAAAAAGAAAAAAUCUUAAUUUCCUCUCUUUCUGCUGCGACGUCUUUUUUUUUUCAUUUUUCCUUUUCAACUGGGAUUUAAGAAAUGAAUUUUUGGUAACUGCACAAAACUUGAAAAUUGAAAUCUAACGUUUGGGCUGGACCCGUGGCCCAUGGCAAGACAUCUGAGUAAGUAGCCUCUGUUUGUCUCGUUCGUGCGCCUUUAAGAAUUAGAGUGGGGCUAUCAGCACCCCCUGAUAUCCUUUUCAAACCCCUUUUCUGUUUAUUUCCUCCUCAAUUCCUAAAAUAGCCUUUAUCUGUAAUGUUUCCGCAAACAAUUUCGACCUCUUUUCAGUUAUCACUCUUCAACCACUCCCACUUCAAGUUUCUUCUUUUUAUAAGAAAGGUUGUUGAUAACAACCCAAUAUUUUGUAUCCCAUGCGCUUAAUUUAUUAUGAGGUUUCUAUUUGUUUUCGUUUUAUACUUUUCAGUUUAUGACAUUAUAUUUCAAAAUAAAUAUGUAUAAAAUACACGCAAGGUUUAGUUAUCUCCUAACAUUCUAAUAACGUUGGUAAUUUAUGAAAAUUUUAUAAAAUUAUCUUUCCUACAAAAAUAAAUUGUUAAGUGAAAAAAAAAAUACUGUAUAUCAAAUUCUUACUCUUUUACCAUUGACCUUUUUUUUCCCAAAAAAAAAAUUGCAACUUUUAAGUGCUUUAGUGGAGAAAGAGUCAGUGAGAAAAAAUCAUAUAUGGAUUUAAUAAGAUAAGAUUUUACAGCUAAUACAAUUCAAGAUACAAGGGAUAAAAUUGUAAAUGUAUAACAAGAGGGGUUUUAUAAGAAAAACACAGGGGUGCCAAUAGCAUCACUCUAAGAAUUAAGACCUCCGUUC
This 6955-nucleotide long non-coding RNA is filed under the name Citrus x clementina. Its description in RNAcentral is "Citrus clementina (C. clementina) long non-coding RNA (CCLE_LNC002092)". The record is from RNAcentral. Lineage: Eukaryota; Viridiplantae; Streptophyta; Magnoliopsida; Sapindales; Rutaceae.